GGAUUAGAUACCCCUGUAGUCCCGGCCGUAAACGAUGCGGGCUAGCUGUCGGCUGGGCUUAGGGCCCGGCCGGUGGCGAAGGGAAACCGUUAAGCCCGCCGCCUGGGGAGUACGGCCGCAAGGCUGAAACUUAAAGGAAUUGGCGGGGGGGCACCACAAGGGGUGAAGCUUGCGGCUUAAUUGGAGUCAACGCCGGAAACCUCACCCGGGGCGACAGCAGGAUGAAGGCCAGGCUAACGACCUUGCCGGACGAGCUGAGAGGAGGUGCAUGGCCGUCGUCAGCUCGUGCCGUGAGGUGUCCGGUUAAGUCCGGCAACGAGCGAGACCCCCACCCCUAGUUGCUUUCCCGCCCUUCGGGGCGGGAGGCACACUAGGGGGACUGCCGGCGUAAGCCGGAGGAAGGAGGGGGCCACGGCAGGUCAGUAUGCCCCGAAACCCCGGGGCUGCACGCGAGCUGCAAUGGCGGGGACAGCGGGACCCGACCCCGAAAGGGGGAGGCAAUCCCGUAAACCCCGCCCCACUCCGGAUCGAGGGCUGCAACUCGCCCUCGUGAACGUGGAAUCCCUAGUAACCGCGUGUCACCACGCGCGGUGAUA
RNAcentral lists this ribosomal RNA (596 nucleotides) under uncultured Thermoprotei archaeon. RNAcentral describes it as "bacterial SSU rRNA". It matches the Rfam family "Archaeal small subunit ribosomal RNA", at positions 726 to 1323 of the family's 1478-position model. Lineage: Archaea; Thermoproteati; Thermoproteota; Thermoprotei. The record is from RNAcentral.